This is a long non-coding RNA of Hyla sarda, 669 nucleotides long. RefSeq lists it as uncharacterized. NCBI's taxonomy places the organism in Eukaryota, Metazoa, Chordata, Amphibia, Anura, Hylidae. The transcript has 3 exons. The record is from RefSeq and is a predicted model, not a curated record.
UGGCGCUGUACUGCCACUGGGUCUGCUGGUCUACUGAGAGUCACCAGCUGGCUGGACGUGCCUCUCAGGGCUCGACGGGUCCGUUCUUCGUGGCCCGCACAAUGGUCACUCAGAGCCGCAUUGUUGUAUUAAAUGAGAAAAAUAAGAGAGAGUGUGAAAGGCGAACAACCGAGCGCGACAAGAAAUCCAUUAAAAGGCUGCAACAAUGUAUAAACCCGGAAUACGGUCGUCGACAGGAGAGCAAAUCAAUAACUGCAUGAAAGGCCAGGCGGAAUCCUGCCGGAGGGGGAAAAAAACAGCGCAAUCCCUCCGUGUAGAAGACUGGAAUAUGGCGCCAAUAACUUCACGUAUCAGAAGAAUCAGGAGGAGGAUCAGGAUGAGCCAAGUCAGAAAUGCGCAAUUUCGCACAGCACUAAAUUUUGCACCUUUUCUUGGAUAAAUGUGAACCAAAAUGUGCAGAUUUUGGCGUGAAAUUUUAAAGGGGAUAAAAUGUAAAUUUUAAAAUGUUGAUAAAAAAUUUAGAAUUGUCAAUUUUGAAGCAGAUUUGCCGCUGCAACAUUUGAAAAUGUAAUGGCAAAUAUGACGCAGAUUUUAAUAUGUCAAUAGGGAAAAGUCUGCAACAAAUCCUCAGUAUACACUCACUGGCCCCAUGCUGGAAACAUUCCUCAG